AGUGAACGCUGGCGGCAGGCCUAAUACAUGCAAGUCGGACGGCAGCACAGCAGAGCUUGCUCUGUGGGUGGCGAGUGGCGGACGGGUGAGGAAUACAUGGGAAUCUGCCCAGUCGUGGGGGAUAACGUAUGGAAACGUACGCUAAUACCGCAUGCGCCCUACGGGGGAAAGCCGGGGACCUUCGGGCCUGGCGCGAUGGGAUGAGCCCAUGUUCGAUUAGCUAGUUGGCGGGGUAAAGGCCCACCAAGGCGACGAUCGAUAGCUGGUCUGAGAGGAUGAUCAGCCACACUGGGACUGAGACACGGCCCAGACUCCUACGGGAGGCAGCAGUAGGGAAUAUUGGACAAUGGGCGCAAGCCUGAUCCAGCCAUGCCGCGUGAGUGAAGAAGGCCCUCGGGUUGUAAAGCUCUUUUGUCCGGAAAGAAAAGCAUUCGGUUAAUACCCGGGUGUUCUGACGGUACCGGAAGAAUAAGCACCGGCUAACUUCGUGCCAGCCGCGCCGUAA
RNAcentral lists this ribosomal RNA (505 nucleotides) under uncultured bacterium. Its description in RNAcentral is "partial 16S ribosomal RNA". It matches the Rfam family "Bacterial small subunit ribosomal RNA", at positions 29 to 523 of the family's 1533-position model. The record is from RNAcentral.